This 971-nucleotide long non-coding RNA is filed under the name Mus pahari (shrew mouse). Its description in RNAcentral is "lncRNA (MGP_PahariEiJ_G0003124.1)". The record is from RNAcentral. Lineage: Eukaryota; Metazoa; Chordata; Mammalia; Rodentia; Muridae.
GCAGAGGCACCAGAUCCCCUGGAACUGUUGUUAGUGGCAGUUAGGAGCUGCUUCGUGUGGCUACUGGGAGCUAAAUGUAGACCCUCUGCAAGAGCAGCAUGCACUCUCUUAGCAUCCCUGGAACUCAGGAUUUUCAUACAACUGGCACAGCAAAUCGGGAAUAUCUCACCAGGUGCCAGAAUGGAAUUAUCACUAAUAUGGCAAGCAUCUGAGCACCUAUGUGUACCUACCACCUAAUCAAAGAAGCCCUUCUUUAAAGCAAAUGAAAACCAUCAUAGAAAACGACAACUGAACAUAAUGCAAAAAACCAACAGAUCAUGAGGAGCCAAGCCCCCGUGGAUAUAUCUACACCACAGUUCCUUAAUCUGUGGCUCAUGGAACAUUGCAGAAAAGUGAACUGAACUGGAAAAGAUUUUAAAAGCCAGAGUAUCACAAGUCUUGUACAGUCUCUUCUAGAGAUGGCUUCAGAAACAAGACUGGAACAAUAACAACGGUAAUGGAUGAGUUCACAUAGAAGGGGGGAAAUUUCACAGGGUUCCACACUUAAACAAGGAACUACAGACUAUUGACAGCUGAGAGAAGAACUUAGUCUCUACCAUGGCUUAGCCCUCUUAUUGUCUAAUGCAGAGAGACGAUGAACUCUUCUUCCAUGAAGUCUUCAUAUCAGUACAAUAAUUUAACCCAAGUAAACUGAAAGGUUGAAUAUAUAACCGACAAGGUCAUGUCCAUCAGUUUAUCAACAGACCAAAUGUCAAAAUAAGGUAAGUUUACUUGUUGCAAAGACAACUUGGAAGUCAGGAUUGAUGAAGUGUAAUUCCUUUGUGGAUUGCUUUAACAAAUGAUUCAUCUUGAUGCUCCACAGAACAACUGUUACUUGGAAAUUAUCCAUAAGGAUGGCAGAAUUAAAGGGUGACCCAAAAGUAGGGGUAUCUGGGUAUGAAGACAUUAGGACAGCAUUCAGUAAAUAGUGC